RNAcentral lists this ribosomal RNA (493 nucleotides) under uncultured bacterium. RNAcentral describes it as "partial 16S ribosomal RNA". It matches the Rfam family "Bacterial small subunit ribosomal RNA", at positions 30 to 523 of the family's 1533-position model. The record is from RNAcentral.
AUUGAACGCUGGCGGCAUGCUUUGCACAUGCAAGUCGAACGGUAACAGGUUAAGCUGACGAGUGGCGAACGGGUGAGUAAUGCAUCGGAACGUGCCCGGUCGUGGGGGAUAACGCAGCGAAAGCUGCGCUAAUACCGCAUACGAUCUGAGGAUGAAAGCGGGGGACCGUAAGGCCUCGCGCGAUCGGAGCGGCCGAUGUCAGAUUAGGUAGUUGGUGGGGUAAAGGCUCACCAAGCCAACGAUCUGUAGCUGGUCUGAGAGGACGACCUGCCACACUGGGACUGAGACACGGCCCAGACUCCUACGGGAGGCAGCAGUGGGGAAUUUUGGACAAUGGGCGAAAGCCUGAUCCAGCAAUGCCGCGUGCAGGAAGAAGGCCUUCGGGUUGUAAACUGCUUUUGUACGGAGCGAAAAGGUCUCCUCUAAUACAGGGGGCUCAUGACGGUACCGUAAGAAUAAGCACCGGCUAACUACGUGCCAGCCGCCGCGGUAA